AUUGAACGCUGGCGGCAGGCCUAACACAUGCAAGUCGAGCGGAGCGGCGGACGGGUGAGUAAUGCAUAGGAAUGUGCACGGUAGUGGGGGAUAACGACGGGAAAGGGGAGCUAAUACCGCAUACUAUUAGAUUCGCCUAUGUCGGAUUAGCUCGAUGGGGGGGUAAAGGCAUACCAAGGCGACGAUCCGUAGCUGGUCUGAGAGGAUGAUCAGCCACACUGGAACUGAGACACGGUCCAGACGCCGACGGGAGGCAGCAGUGGGGAAUAUUGGACAAUGGGCGAAAGCCUGAUCCAGCCAUGCCGCGUGUGUGAAGAAGGCCUUCGGGUUGUAAAGAACUUUCAGCAGGGAGGCGUUACCUGCAGAAUAAGCACCGGCUAACUCCGUGCCAGCAGCCGCGGUAAUAC
This 407-nucleotide ribosomal RNA is filed under the name uncultured bacterium. Its description in RNAcentral is "partial 16S ribosomal RNA". It matches the Rfam family "Bacterial small subunit ribosomal RNA", at positions 29 to 526 of the family's 1533-position model. The record is from RNAcentral.